This 497-nucleotide ribosomal RNA is filed under the name uncultured bacterium. RNAcentral's name for it is "partial 16S ribosomal RNA". It matches the Rfam family "Bacterial small subunit ribosomal RNA", at positions 28 to 507 of the family's 1533-position model. The record is from RNAcentral.
GAUGAACGCUGGCGGCGUGCCUAAUACAUGCAAGUCGAGCGAACAGACGAGGAGCUUGCUCCUCUGACGUUAGCGGCGGACGGGUGAGUAACACGUGUAUAACCUACCUAUAAGACUGGGAUAACUUCGGGAAACCGGAGCUAAUACCGGAUAAUAUAUUGAACCGCAUGGUUCAAUAGUGAAAGACGGUUUUGCUGUCACGUAUAGAUGGAUCCGCGCCGCAUUAGCUAGUUGGUAAGGUAACGGCUUACCAAGGCAACGAUGCGUAGCCGACCUGAGAGGGUGAUCGGCCACACUGGAGCGGAGACACGGUCCAGACUCCUACGGGAGGCAGCAGUAGGGAAUCUUCCGCAAUGGGCGAAAGCUUGACGGAGCAACGCCGCGUGAGUGAUGAAGGUCUUCGGAUCGUAAAACUCUGUUAUUAGGGAAGAACAAAUGUGUAAGUAACUAUGCACGUCUUGACGGUACCUAAUCAGAAAGCCACGGCUAACUACGUG